GACAACUUGGUUGACUCCACCUCAGUAGUUUGUGAACUCAUCAGUCAGAAAAAGCAGACAGUGGGUUCGAUCAGUUCACACCAGCUUCAAAUUUUCAAUCCCAUAGUUAAAUUUCCUCAAUAAAUAGGCCAUCUCAUAUCUGGCAUUUGAUGCAUCCAUUCUAAAAUAGAAAUAUUGAGGAACAAGAGCUUGGCAAUCGCUCUGACAUGGCUGCUGCUAGCUGCAUUCCUCGUCACUUGUUCGUGUGCAGCAGCUAGCACAAAACCUGCUGAACGCGUCGUGCAUCCACAAGGGUGCCGGUGCUGCUUGUUUAACUUCUCGAAGCCCCUCAUCACCUGCGCCAGAGUCUGCUGUGGCGAAAGCUGCUGCUAACAUCAAAACCAGCCCAGAAAAGCUACAAAUGAAGAAUGUGUUGCUUAUGAUAUGUAUCUUGAAACUGAAUGUGAUGCAUUGUACUAUAACUUAAGAAUACAGUAUCAAAUUGAAUAAAAAUCUUCAAUAAAUAUAUAUAGUGCUAUAAUAGUACAGAA
Molecule: long non-coding RNA, 530 nt
Organism: Salvia splendens (bonfire salvia)
Lineage: Eukaryota; Viridiplantae; Streptophyta; Magnoliopsida; Lamiales; Lamiaceae
Exons: 2
Source: RefSeq, a predicted model, not a curated record